RNAcentral lists this ribosomal RNA (460 nucleotides) under uncultured bacterium. Its description in RNAcentral is "partial 16S ribosomal RNA". It matches the Rfam family "Bacterial small subunit ribosomal RNA", at positions 338 to 795 of the family's 1533-position model. The record is from RNAcentral.
CCUACGGGAGGCAGCAGUGAGGAAUAUUGGUCAAUGGACGAGAGUCUGAACCAGCCAAGUAGCGUGAAGGAUGACUGCCCUAUGGGCUGUAAACUUCUUUUAUAUGGGAAUAAAAUGUUCCACGUUGGGGAUUUUGUAUGUACCAUAUGAAUAAGGAUCGGCUAACUCCGUGCCAGCAGCCGCGGUAAUACGGAGGUUCCGAGCGUUAUCCGGAUUUUUUGGGUUUAAAGGGAGCGUAGGUGGAUUGUUAAGUCAGUUGUGAAAGUUUGCGGCUCAACCGUAAAAUUGCAUUUGUAACUGGCAGUCUUGAGUACAGUAGAGGUGGGCGGAAUGCGUGGUGUAGCGGUGAAAUGCUUAGAUAUCACGAAGAACUCCGAUUGCGAAGGCAGCUCACUGGACUGCAACUGACACUGAGGCUCGAAAGUGUGGGUAUCAAACAGGAUUAGAUACCCUUGUAGUC